GAAUGCGUUUUUUUUUUCUGGUCUCAGAUGGUGCCAUGGAAGUCCAGUACAUAGAUUUGGUCUUUACACACUACAAUGGAUAGUUGAGAUAAAUGGGAAACCAACUCCGGACCUAGAGGCUUUUCUAGUAGUAAAGGGACUGGAGCACGGAGAAUUUGUGAGAGUGAGGACAGUCCAUUUGAAUGGGAAGCCUCAUGUGCUGGCAUUGAAGCAGGACCUUCACUACCGGCCAACUUGGGAACUUAAAUUCGAUCCAGAAACGACAAUGUGGCGACGGAAUGUGAUAAAAAGCUUUGAGCGGUAGCCAAAUACCAGGAUCCAACACAACAUCCAAGUUAUGAAAAUUCACAUGCAAGAGCUCCGACACAAGUUUCAUCUUUAGCUCCAAGAAAUCAGUUGGACUCCAUAGGGUACCCUUAGAUCUUUUAGCCCAUUCAUCAACCUUCAACUCUUAACGUUUUUUUGACUCGGG
This is a long non-coding RNA of Zingiber officinale, 472 nucleotides long. RefSeq lists it as uncharacterized. The record is from RefSeq and is a predicted model, not a curated record. Lineage: Eukaryota; Viridiplantae; Streptophyta; Magnoliopsida; Zingiberales; Zingiberaceae. The transcript is spliced from 3 exons.